RNAcentral lists this ribosomal RNA (429 nucleotides) under Chloroflexota bacterium. RNAcentral describes it as "Chloroflexi bacterium partial 16S ribosomal RNA". It matches the Rfam family "Bacterial small subunit ribosomal RNA", at positions 355 to 776 of the family's 1533-position model. Lineage: Bacteria; Bacillati; Chloroflexota. The record is from RNAcentral.
UGGGGAAUAUUGCACAAUGGGCGCAAGCCUGAUGCAGCCAUGCCGCGUGUAUGAAGAAGGCCUUCGGGUUGUAAAGUACUUUCAGUCGGGAGGAAGGUGGUAAGGUUAAUAACCUUAUCAAUUGACGUUACCGACAGAAGAAGCACCGGCUAACUCCGUGCCAGCAGCCGCGGUAAUACGGAGGGUGCAAGCGUUAAUCGGAAUUACUGGGCGUAAAGCGCACGCAGGCGGUUGAUUGAGUCAGAUGUGAAAUCCCCGGGCUUAACCCGGGAAUUGCAUCUGAUACUGGUCAGCUAGAGUCUUGUAGAGGGGGGUAGAAUUCCAUGUGUAGCGGUGAAAUGCGUAGAGAUGUGGCGGAAUACCGGUGGCGAAGGCGGCCCCCUGGACGAAGACUGACGCUCAGGUGCGAAAGCGUGGGGAGCAAACAGG